GAUGAACGCUAGCGGCAGGCUAACACAUGCAAGUCGAGGGGUAAGGUUCAGCUUGCUGAAUACACGACCGGCGCACGGGUGAGUAACACGUUUGCAACCUUCCUCUAACUGGAGAAUAGCCCGAAGAAAUUCGGAUUAAUACUCCAUAAAGUCAAUUUAAGGCAUCUUUUAUGGAUUAAAGCUCCGGCGGUUAGAGAUGGGCAUGCGUGCCAUUAGAUAGUUGGUGAGGUAACGGCUCACCAAGUCAACGAUGGCUACGGGGUCUUAAAGGAUGGUCCCGCACACUGGUACUGAGACACGGACCAGACUCCUACGGGAGGCAGCAGUGAGGAAUAUUGGUCAAUGGAGGCAACUCUGAACCAGCCAUGCCGCGUGGAGGAAGAAGGCGUUCUGCGUCGUAAACUUCUUUUUUACGGGAAUAAUGGUUUCUACGUGUAGAGAUUUGAAGGUACCGUACGAAUAAGGACCGGCUAACUCCGUGCCAGCAGCCGCGGUAAUACGGAGGGUCCAGGCGUUAUCCGGAUUUAUUAGGUUUAAAGGGUGCGCAGGCGGGUCUUUAAGUCAGUGGUGAAAGUUUGCAGCUUAACUGUAAAAUUGCCAUAGAUACUGAAGACCUUGAAUGUAGUAGAGGUAGGCGGAAUGUGUAGUGUAGCGGUGAAAUGCUUAGAUAUUACACAGAACACCGAUUGCGAAGGCAGCUUACUAUGCUAUGAUUGACGCUGAGGCACGAAAGCGUGGGGAGCGAACAGGAUUAGAUACCCUGGUAGUCCACGCCGUAAACGAUGAUUACUGGUUGUGCGCGAUACACAGUGCGCGACUGAGGGAAACCAUUAAGUAAUCCACCUGGGGAGUACGUUCGCAAGAAUGAAACUCAAAGGAAUUGACGGGGGCCCGCACAAGCGGAGGAACAUGUGGUUUAAUUCGAUGAUACGCGAGGAACCUUACCUGGGGCUUGACAUGCUUGGAUGCCCAUCUGGAAACAGAGUAGGCUGCCCUUCGGGGUGAAACUUGCACAGGUGCUGCAUGGCUGUCGUCAGCUCGUGUCGUGAGAUGUUGGGUUAAGUCCCGUAACGAGCGAAACCCUUAUCGUUAGUUGCCAGCGCGUAAUGGCGGGAACUCUAGCGAGACUGCCGGUGUUAAACCGGAGGAAGGCGGGGAUGACGUCAAGUCCUCAUGGCCUUUAUGCCCAGGGCUGCAAACGUGCUACAAUGGUAGGUACAAACCGACGCAAAACCGUGAGGUCAAGCAAAUCGGAAAAAGCCAGCCCCAGUUCGGAUUGGAGUCUGCAACUCGACUCCAUGAAGUUGGAAUCGCUAGUAAUCGUGUAUCAGCGUGACGCGGUGAAUGUGUUCCUGAGCCU
RNAcentral lists this ribosomal RNA (1360 nucleotides) under uncultured prokaryote. RNAcentral's name for it is "partial 16S ribosomal RNA". It matches the Rfam family "Bacterial small subunit ribosomal RNA", at positions 28 to 1381 of the family's 1533-position model. The record is from RNAcentral.